AGAAGAAGGGGAAAAAGAAAAGGAAAGGAGGUGGUGACGAGGAAGUUGGAAGAGCCUAUCGACCAGUUUAGGUUCAGCUUGUGUUAUAUAGAAGCUGCGUUGAGCCAUAUCAGAGCCUGUCGUUGACGAGUUGAGCUUCAUCGUGUCCUUGUUUGUAUGUCUCAUUUUGUUAAUUCAUACAACAUAUAUUUUGGGGGUUAAUGUAUUUUGUAUCAAAAAUGUAUUAAGUCUCAUACCCAUUGCA
This is a long non-coding RNA of Olea europaea var. sylvestris, 244 nucleotides long. RefSeq lists it as uncharacterized. Lineage: Eukaryota; Viridiplantae; Streptophyta; Magnoliopsida; Lamiales; Oleaceae. The record is from RefSeq and is a predicted model, not a curated record. The transcript is spliced from 3 exons.